Molecule: RNA transcript, 5355 nt
Organism: Drosophila ficusphila
Lineage: Eukaryota; Metazoa; Arthropoda; Insecta; Diptera; Drosophilidae
Exons: 2
Source: RefSeq, a predicted model, not a curated record
GACCUUUACCACACGAUAAUGCCACCUUGCAAGGGUCGAGUCUAAAUUGCAUUCAGUAAUGACCUUUACCACAUGACAAAAUUGCCAAUCGAUUGAUCGCGUUAAGCUUUUUUGGCAUUAUGGCAUUUUGCAGGACGCUCGUAUACGUCCACUCUCUCUCUUUUCUUCUGAUCGCCGAUCGAAACGGACAUCUCUCGCAGUGAUUAAAUCUUAAAACUUCAAAAAGUGAAUAUUAAAUAUUUGAAUUGUUUGUACUGCAACAAGAGAGACCCGAUUAACCCCAACUGGGAAAACCUUCAGCCGAUCCCACGAUCUGUGACGUGUAGAAAAGUGAAGUCAAGGAAUUUGGGAAUUCCCGGAAUUUUGCGAAUUCUAGGAAUCGGUGAAUUCGAGGAAACGGCUUCUGUCAACGGUAAGCCAGUGAACGGCUAAAGGCCUAGUGAUUUAAACUAGUGUUUUUACAAGGGCGGAAUUCCAAGAACGCCGGAGACGCCGAAUUUGAGGAGGGACUUCUCCAGACGCCUGGCGCGUCACAUCGUCGCCAUACUUAGGCGAUCGCAUACAAGCACAACGCUGCACACGCGUGAUCGUAUACACGCACAUAGCUGCACACGCGCGAUCGCACACGCACAUCGCUGCACGAGGGCGAAAGCACGCACAUCGCCGCGCGAACGCGAAGGCGCCAUCUUGCCUCUGCGCACACACGCGCAAACGCCUGCUGCGCACACACGCGCAAACGCCUUCGGCUCUCACGGACGCCGCAUACAGGCAAACGUCGACGACGAUCGACACGAUCGUUCGUGCCCGCCUGGAUCUCUAAUUGGAACUUUUUGUAUCGUAUACAUAAAUUUUAUUUUGCUACUUUAAACUCGUAAAACAUGUACUUAUAAACCUCUUCGACCCCGUUAUAGUUUUAUGGUGCAGCAGUAGAGGAUUAUAUAUUCGCCUUUUUCUUUCAUAAAACAGCAACCACAACAACACCGUCAACAGGCCUGCUGACUUCGUUGGAAUUGUCGUGAGUACGGCAUAGCCGUGUAAUCUCUUGUAUUUUCGUAUAUUUUUUGGCCAUAUAUAUAUAUAUAUUUCCUAUUGCUUGCAACCCUUGAAUAAAUAUAUGAAGUAAAUGUGAGAAAUCCUUUAAAGUUAGGAACCCAUCUGAUUUUGAUACCUUUUCUUUUCUUUUCGAAUUUAUAAACACAUACACAUAUCGAUAGGUGAUAAGCUUUUCUUAAAUACUGUUAAUUAGAUUUAAGGUUAGGUUAAAAUUUCAACAUGUAUAUUAUCGCUUUUCUUUCGUUUUCUUUAUAAUUAUAUUAUAUUCAACAUGAUUUAACUUAGUAUUCUUGGAGGGCAAAGUUUUGGAAAUGUAGCAUAGCAGUUGAUAAAGGGGUGGAAUCUUCUCAGAUUCCACUGGUAGGGUGGGUAUAGAGGAGGCCAUCACCAUCUGGUCCUCCAACAUCGAUGGAUACCUUUAUUUUUCGUCCGAUUCAUAGCCGUUUGGUGUAUGAUCAGUUUUGGCCUUUUGUUUAUCUCUGUCUACUAUUUAAUUCUGUAGCACCCCUGUUCUCUCUUAACACAAACCCACGCCACCUACCCUGAGCAGGCCGGACAAAAUGUAGACAGAGCGUGUUGGGAGUGAGCAGCACUUGCGUGUGUGUUCGUUACAGAAUUAAUGGCGCCCAAUCGUGAAGCCAGCGUAGCCUGAUUAGGUUCUAGUCGUUGGACUCCCUAGCUUCCCGAAAAUAGUAUUUCCAUCCAAUGUUUUGAGUCGUAGUUUCAGUUGAUAAAUAUAUUCUCGUCUCGGAUUUACUGGUAGUCUGGAUAGUUUCGGACCCAGUCCAGCAGAUAUAUUUAUCAUAUAAUUUUUCGUUUUACUAUCAGUUCGGAAGCCGAACAUUAUAGAAAACGAGCUCCACCUUAAGUAAAUUUUUCUUAGGAUUACUAGUUCUGGUGUUGAUCGGUUCUAGGCCAAGAGAAAUUGCUUAAGCCCACUAUCUUACCUAAGUGAAAUCGAGAUUUGCUCUUGCUGGAUAGUUUCGGCAAGUUCCUCUUUCACUGGGUGAGACAUCACACAAUUUUAUUUCCAUAGUAAAUCAGUUUCCACAUACAGUUUAUAUUAUCCAUCGAUGUUAAAUUCCUGCUUAUGCUGCUUUCCAAACAUAAGUCCCUCAAUUAUCGUCAGUUUUAUCGUUUACCGUUAGAUUUAUCGCUUAUCGUUUGACUUAUCGCUUACCGUCAGUUUUAUCGCUUACCGUCAAAUUUAUCGCUUAUCGUCAGAAUUAUCGCUUACCGUCAAAUUUAUCGCUUAUCGUCAGAAUUAUCGCUUAUCGUCAGACUUAUCGCUUACCGUUAGAUUUAUCGUUUAUCGCCUUUUUCAUUUGUAAGAAUCUUUUAGAAAGUUCUAGAAUAUUAGAAUGCCUUUAGUACGUAGUACAGAAAAUUUGGUCUCACUUGAAAGUGAGGAAGAGAUAGGGAUUUGUCUCAUUUGCAAUGUCACAAUUGCUUCAGCAGACCUGCACGAAACAGGCUGCAAACAUUCUUUUCAUGUAGCAUGUAUACAAAAUUGGCUACGAACCGAUUCCAAUUGUCCCACUUGUUCCAAAUCUAUUGGAUCUCAGAGCGAUCCAGGCGCGAGCUCGAACAGUCACAGAAUGACAACUAGAUCGAAUUCACGCGCGCUCAUGGCAAACGCUAAUGCAAAUCAACAGGACUCUCAGUCGAUUCCUCAACAACGAGCGGAUCAAGUGACUUCUCAGAACUCAUCAGACGUAGACGAAAGUCGAAUUCAGCAGUUAAUCUCUCGUGCAUUUGAGAGAUUUCAUGCACAACUUUCUAUGGACAUAACCAAUCAGAUCACUGAAGCUUUUCAGCAAUUAAAUGGAUCUACAAUGGGUGCAAAUAAUCAGCGUGUCGGCCAUCAGGUCCAAGGAAAUGGUUCAGCUCAUCCAAGCAACCCGGUUGGCUCGGAAGGAACUCCGACUAGUGGUCGAAGCGGCCGCAGCCCACACAGCGAUCUAUCAAUCGAUCGCCCAGACAAGAUCUCAAAUACAAUUUCGAAUUGGCGCAUCAAGUUCAGUGGCUCGCCAAGCGAUAUAACUAUCGAAGACUUUAUAUAUCGUGUAAAUUGUCUAACUCAACAAUCACUUGACGGAAACUUUAUCGUACUCUGCCAAUUCGCCAACUUGCUGUUUACAGGUUCUGCAUUGUCGUUUUAUUGGCGUGUUCACAAAUCUGUAGUGUCGUUGAACUGGUCAAUUCUAUGCAGACAUUUGAGAGAGCGUUAUCAGGAUCAGAGAUCUGACCGUGAAAUUAGGAAUAUUAUGCGUCGCCGAAAACAAGGACAUAACGAAAGCUUCGAUGAAUUCGUAGACGCCAUGCUUUUAAUUGCAGACUCUCUCCAAGAACCUAUGCAUGACGCAGACCUAACGGCGGAAGUUCGCCACAACCUCAAGCAAGAGUUAAAGCUCGAGUUGUUGCACCUUGAAACCCCAAUUUUGGCUUCUUUGCGUAAAGAAUGUUAUCGCCAUGAAGAAUUUUAUCGCAGUAAUCGCACAAAGACUGUGAAUCGUUUCAAUCCUCCCAAACGAGUAAACGCUAUCGAAUGUGAAAACAAUGAUGAAGAACACUCCGUCGAUGAUAACUCAACAGUUGACAAAGUCUGUGCCAUCAAGGUGGCAGAAAAGCUAACCUGCUGGAAUUGUGACGCCAAGGGUCACAGGUACCAUGAUUGUCGUAAACCUCGCCGCAUCUUCUGUUAUGGUUGCGGUACCCCAGAUACGUACAAACCCGACUGUGCCAAAUGCGCAUCAGCUUCGGAAAACUCCAAAGCGGAUGUCCGUCUAGUCUCGAAAAGGGACAUCCGACACUAACCACGAAUGCUCAAGAGCCGGUAAAGGUGUUGCAAUCAGCUGAUUCUUCAGUGUCACCACCAGUUACAUCGGACAUAUCACCUCCCAGACAUUUCAUGCUAAGGACAUCUGGUGAUUGCAUUUGGACCCUUUCUUCAGUUUCUAUUUUAAUCGCAGGGACUAAAAUAGAAUCUGUGGUUAUGAGGGUCGCGCCAAAAUAAUAUUCAGCAAUGACCUUUACCACACGAUAAUGCCACCUUGCAAGGGUCGAGUCUAAAUUGCAUUCAGUAAUGACCUUUACCACAUGACAAAAUUGCCAAUCGAUUGAUCGCGUUAAGCUUUUUUGGCAUUAUGGCAUUUUGCAGGACGCUCGUAUACGUCCACUCUCUCUCUUUUCUUCUGAUCGCCGAUCGAAACGGACAUCUCUCGCAGUGAUUAAAUCUUAAAACUUCAAAAAGUGAAUAUUAAAUAUUUGAAUUGUUUGUACUGCAACAAGAGAGACCCGAUUAACCCCAACUGGGAAAACCUUCAGCCGAUCCCACGAUCUGUGACGUGUAGAAAAGUGAAGUCAAGGAAUUUGGGAAUUCCCGGAAUUUUGCGAAUUCUAGGAAUCGGUGAAUUCGAGGAAACGGCUUCUGUCAACGGGCGGAAUUCCAAGAACGCCGGAGACGCCGAAUUUGAGGAGGGACUUCUCCAGACGCCUGGCGCGUCACAUCGUCGCCAUACUUAGGCGAUCGCAUACAAGCACAACGCUGCACACGCGUGAUCGUAUACACGCACAUAGCUGCACACGCGCGAUCGCACACGCACAUCGCUGCACGAGGGCGAAAGCACGCACAUCGCCGCGCGAACGCGAAGGCGCCAUCUUGCCUCUGCGCACACACGCGCAAACGCCUGCUGCGCACACACGCGCAAACGCCUUCGGCUCUCACGGACGCCGCAUACAGGCAAACGUCGACGACGAUCGACACGAUCGUUCGUGCCCGCCUGGAUCUCUAAUUGGAACUUUUUGUAUCGUAUACAUAAAUUUUAUUUUGCUACUUUAAACUCGUAAAACAUGUACUUAUAAACCUCUUCGACCCCGUUAUAGUUUUAUGGUGCAGCAGUAGAGGAUUAUAUAUUCGCCUUUUUCUUUCAUAAAACAGCAACCACAACAACACCGUCAACAGGCCUGCUGACUUCGUUGGAAUUGUCGUGAGUACGGCAUAGCCGUGUAAUCUCUUGUAUUUUCGUAUAUUUUUUGGCCAUAUAUAUAUAUAUAUUUCCUAUUGCUUGCAACCCUUGAAUAAAUAUAUGAAGUAAAUGUGAGAAAUCCUUUAAAGUUAGGAACCCAUCUGAUUUUGAUACCUUUUCUUUUCUUUUCGAAUUUAUAAACACAUACACAUAUCGAUAGGUGAUAAGCUUUUCUUAAAUACUGUUAAUUAGAUUUAAGGUUAGGUUAAAAUUUCAACAUGUAUAUUAUCGCUUUUCUUUCGUUUUCUUUAUAAUUAUAUUAUAUUCAACAUGA